Molecule: non-coding RNA, 272 nt
Organism: Procavia capensis (Cape rock hyrax)
Lineage: Eukaryota; Metazoa; Chordata; Mammalia; Hyracoidea; Procaviidae
Source: Rfam
ACACAAUCUUAAAAUCUUUUCAUAUUAGAAAAUUUCUACAAGCUUUUUUUCAAUCCUAUAAAAAAACAAAGGAAUCUAUUUUAUGGACUGGAUUGUAUCUCGUUCCUUUUCCCUCUCCCGGCUGCACGCAGUUUAAUAGUUGUCAGUUUUUCUGAAGUGGUAGAUUUAACAAUAUAAGACCUAAAUAUUUCUCCAGUAGAUUAGCUUGUUAAAUAUUCUGUCACUUUUGCGAUUCCUUCCUUGAGAAAUAGCUUAAUUACAGGAAUCUGUCU